CAGAUAAGGAGCUUGCUCCUUUGACGUUAGCGGCGGACGGGUGAGUAACACGUGGGUAACCUACCUAUAAGACUGGAAUAACUCCGGGAAACCGGGGCUAAUGCCGGAUAACAUUUAGAACCGCAUGGUUCUAAAGUGAAAGAUGGUUUUGCUAUCACUUAUAGAUGGACCCGCGCCGUAUUAGCUAGUUGGUAAGGUAAUGGCUUACCAAGGCAACGAUACGUAGCCGACCUGAGAGGGUGAUCGGCCACACUGGAACUGAGACACGGUCCAGACUCCUACGGGAGGCAGCAGUAGGGAAUCUUCCGCAAUGGGCGAAAGCCUGACGGAGCAACGCCGCGUGAGUGAUGAAGGGUUUCGGCUCGUAAAACUCUGUUAUUAGGGAAGAACAAACGUGUAAGUAACUGUGCACGUCUUGACGGUACCUAAUCAGAAAGCCACGGCUAACUACGUGCCAGCAGCCGCGGUAAUACGUAGGUGGCAAGCGUUAUCCGGAAUUAUUGGGCGUAAAGCGC
This 515-nucleotide ribosomal RNA is filed under the name Staphylococcus sp. NIOT-PL2. RNAcentral describes it as "bacterial SSU rRNA". It matches the Rfam family "Bacterial small subunit ribosomal RNA", at positions 70 to 568 of the family's 1533-position model. Lineage: Bacteria; Bacillati; Bacillota; Bacilli; Caryophanales; Staphylococcaceae. The record is from RNAcentral.